Molecule: ribosomal RNA, 466 nt
Filed under: uncultured bacterium
Lineage: Bacteria
Description: partial 16S ribosomal RNA
Rfam family: Bacterial small subunit ribosomal RNA
Source: RNAcentral
GAUGAACGCUGGCGGCGUGCUUAACACAUGCAAGUCGAACGAUGAAGCCCAGCUUGCUGGGUGGAUUAGUGGCGAACGGGUGAGUAACACGUGAGUAACCUGCCCUUGACUCUGGGAUAAGCCUGGGAAACUGGGUCUAAUACUGGAUAUGACUUCUAAUCGCAUGGUGGGGGGUGGAAAGAUUUAUUGGUGUCGGGUGGACUCGCGGCCUAUCAGCUUGUUGGUGAGGUAAUGGCUCACCAAGGCGACGACGGGUAGCCGGCCUGAGAGGGUGACCGGCCACACUGGGACUGAGACACGGCGCAGACUCCUACGGGAGGCAGCAGUGGGGAAUAUUGCACAAUGGGCGCAAGCCUGAUGCAGCGACGCCGCGUGAGGGAUGACGGCCUUCGGGUUGUAAACCUCUUUCAGUAGGGAAGAAGCGAGAGUGACGGUACCUGCAGAAGAAGCGCCGGCUAACUACGUG